AGAGUUUGAUCAUGGCUCAGAACGAACGCUGGCGGCAUGCCUAACACAUGCAAGUCGAACGAGAUCCUUCGGGGGUCUAGUGGCGGACGGGUGAGUAACGCGUGGGGACCUGCCCAGGGGUACGGAAUAACUUGGGAAACUAAAGCUAAUACCGCAUACGCCCGAGAGGGGAAAGAUUUAUCGCUAUAAGAUUAGCCCGCGUGAGAUUAGGUAGUUGGUGGGGUAAUGGCCUACCAAGCCUACGAUCUCUAGCUGGUCUGAGAGGAUGAUCAGCCACACUGGAACUGAGACACGGUCCAGACUCCUACGGGAGGCAGCAGUGGGGAAUAUUGGGCAAUGGACGAAAGUCUGACCCAGCCAUGCCGCGUGAAUGAUGAAGGCCUUAGGGUUGUAAAGUUCUUUCGCCGAUGAAGAUAAUGACGGUAGUCGGAGAAGAAGCCCCGGCUAACUUCGUG
This 455-nucleotide ribosomal RNA is filed under the name uncultured bacterium. RNAcentral describes it as "bacterial SSU rRNA". It matches the Rfam family "Bacterial small subunit ribosomal RNA", at positions 8 to 507 of the family's 1533-position model. The record is from RNAcentral.